GAUGAACGCUGGCGGCGUGCUUAACACAUGCAAGUCGAACGGAAAGGCCAGUGCUUGCCCUGGUACUCGAGUGGCGAACGGGUGAGUAACACGUGGGUGAUCUGCCCUGUACUUCGGGAUAAGCUUGGGAAACUGGGUCUAAUACCGGAUAGGACAACUUUUUGGAUAUUGUUGUGGAAAGCUUUUGCGGUAUGGGAUGAGCUCGCGGCCUAUCAGCUUGUUGGUGGGGUAAUGGCCUACCAAGGCGUCGACGGGUAGCCGGCCUGAGAGGGUGUACGGCCACAUUGGGACUGAGAUACGGCCCAGACUCCUACGGGAGGCAGCAGUGGGGAAUAUUGCACAAUGGGCGCAAGCCUGAUGCAGCGACGCCGCGUGGGGGAUGAAGGCCUUCGGGUUGUAAACUCCUUUCGCUAGGGACGAAGCGUAAGUGACGGUACCUGGAGAAGAAGCACCGGCUAACUACGUG
This 466-nucleotide ribosomal RNA is filed under the name uncultured bacterium. Its description in RNAcentral is "partial 16S ribosomal RNA". It matches the Rfam family "Bacterial small subunit ribosomal RNA", at positions 28 to 507 of the family's 1533-position model. The record is from RNAcentral.